GGUUGACACUUGAAACCUGAAAUCUUCCUCUUGAAACUUAAAAUUGAAAUGCUGUGGCAACACUGAAAAAUUGAACUUAAACUAAAAUUAGGCCUUGACAUGCUUUAACACCAUAUUACAAUUUUGAAUUAAAGGGUGGAGGCAAAUAAAUGGGAUAGAGACGAGAGUUUAUGAAGUAUGAUGUUGUGCACUGAAAGCUUGCAAACUACAAAGAAACAAAAUAAAUAAAUAAAAUACCAUC
Molecule: unclassified non-coding RNA, 241 nt
Filed under: Hevea brasiliensis (rubber tree)
Lineage: Eukaryota; Viridiplantae; Streptophyta; Magnoliopsida; Malpighiales; Euphorbiaceae
Source: RNAcentral